GUGGCUGUAGUUCAGUUGGUUAGAACGCCGGAUUGUGAUUCCGGAGGUCGUGGGUUCAAGUCCCAUCAGCCACCCCA
This 77-nucleotide transfer RNA is filed under the name Alphaproteobacteria bacterium. RNAcentral describes it as "tRNA-His". It matches the Rfam family "tRNA". Rfam says of the family: Transfer RNA (tRNA) molecules are approximately 80 nucleotides in length. RNAcentral also lists the same sequence under 2 other names. Lineage: Bacteria; Pseudomonadati; Pseudomonadota; Alphaproteobacteria. The record is from RNAcentral.